CUUUGGGACGCCGAGGUGGGUGCCGAGGUCAGGAGUUCAGGAUCACCCGGGCCAACAUGGUGAAACCUCAUCUCUACUAAAAAUACAAAAAAUUAGCUGAGUGUGGUUGUGCAUGCCUGUAAUCCCAGCUACUUGGAGGCUGAGGCAGGAGAAUCACUUGAACCUGGGAGGCAGAGGUUGCAGCCAGCUGAGAUCUCGCCACUGCACAUCAGCAUGGGUGACGAGCAAAACUCUGUCUCAAAGGAAAAAAAAAUGUAAUCCUUAUGCUUGCAAUGCCUAUCAAUAGAUGUACUUUUUAAAAAGUUUUUAUGGGUGUAUCAAUAUGCUAUCAGUUGCUAAAUGUAGUGUACCAAAUGCUUUAUUGCAUUUUAUGACAUGUUGAUUCAAAAAUUAAUGGAAAGUUGGAUGCUAAUAGCUUACUUUUAAUAUUCUUAAUACUUUCCCUAGUUUAUUGUUUAUCCUCCAACUUUGUUUUGAUGGACUCUUGGUUUUUUUAGCAUGUAGAGAUGAAAAAUUUUUAAUUUAGUUUUGAUUAUACAAAAAAUUAAUGCAGAUAAUAGAGAUAAAACUGAAAUUCCCUUUGAUAUUUCCUAUCUAGGUCCUCUCUGCCUGGGAUAAGCACUGUUUGAUACAUGCUAUUAUUUUUCAUGUUAAUUAUCAUUCUCUUCUGCCAUUUGACUGUGUCCAGAAGUUCAUUCAUUUUAAUGAAUCUUGUUUCGCAGUAAUCAGAGAGCCAAUUCACAUGAUGGUGAAUUGUUAUGUAUCUGCUUAAUCCUGGUAAGAGAGCAGAGACAAUGGAAUUGUACAAGAUGCUGGAUUAAAUUUAGAGAAGGCGGAAAAGUGGAAGACAAAAAGAACAAAAGAAAAGCAAUUAAUAGAAAACAUUAACAAAUAUAGUAAUUUAUAUCAAUUAGUUUAAAUAUGAGUUGCCUGAAUACACAGAUACUGUCACAGUGGAUUAAAAGGCAAGACUAACAAGAAAACCACUUUAAAGAUGGAGAAAGAUUAAAACUAAAGAGAUGGAGAAAGAUAUAUCAUGUGUUAUAGACUGAAUGUUUGUGUUCCCCCUUGCUCCCCAAAUUUAUAUGUUGAAACCCUAACUCCUAGUGUGAUAGUAUUUGGAGAUAGGGAUCUUGGAAGAUAAUUAAGGUUAGACGGCACCAUGACUAACAUAAGGUUAGUACCCUUCUAAGAAGGGACAUAGAAAGCUUGCUGUCUUUGCCAUGUGAGAAUACUACUAGGAGGUAGCUGUCUGCAAAUGAGAAAGAGAGCCUUCCCCAGAAAUUGACUAUGCUGACACCCUGAUCACAGACUUUCAGUCUUAAGAAAUUUGAGUAAAUGAAAAUUUCUGUUGUUUAAGAUACCCAGUAUAUGGUAUUUUGUUAUGGUAGCCUAGAUAAACUGUCAUAUCAAACUACAUUGAUCAAAAGAAAGCUGGAGUAGCUAUAUUAAUUUCAUACAAAGCUGACUUCAGAACAAGGAAAAUGAUCAAGGAUUAUGAGAGGCAUCAUAUGGUGAUAAAGGGGUAACUAACAUUUAAAAAAAAAGAUACCAUAGAAAGUAUGUCUUUACAAGGGAAUUAAACUAGAAAUAAAUAAUGAAAAUACCUGGAAAAUCCCAAAAUAUUCGGAGAUUAAGGAACACGCUUCUAAACACAUGGGUCAAAGAAGUGUCAAGAGAAAAUACAUUUUGAACUAAAUAAAUGAAAAUACAAGUUAUCAAAAUUUGUGAGAUGUAGCAAAAGCAGUGGCUAGAGGGAAAUUUAUAGUAUUGAAUGCAUAUAUUGGAAAACGUGAAGGAUCUAAAAUCAAUAUGCAACUACCUUAAGAAAUUAGAAAAAGAAGAGCAAAUUAAAUCCAAAGUAAGCAGAAGAAAUAAUAGAGUAGAAAUCAAUAAAAUUCAACCAAAAACAAUAAAUUCAACAAAGCGAAUGAAAUUCAAUGAAAAGUUAAAAUUUAUAAAACUUUUUGUCAGGGCUGGGUGCGGUGGCUCACACCUAUAAUCCCAGCACUUUGGGAGGCCGAGGUGGGUGGAUCACGAGGUCAAGAGAUCAAGACCAUCCUGGUCAACAAGGUGAAAGCCCGUCUCUACUAAAAAUACAAAAAUUAGCUGGGCGUGGUGGCGCGUGCGCCUGUAGUCCCAGCCACUGGGGAGGCUGAGGCAGGAGAAUUGCUUGAACCCAGGAGGCGGAGGUUGCGGUGAGCCGAGAUCGUGCCAUUGCACUCCAGCCUGGGUAACGAGCAAAACUCCGUCUUGGGGGAAAAAAAAAAAAAACCUUUUUGUCAUACCAAAGGAGAAAGCAAAAAUUACUGAAAUCAGAAAGGAAAAGAGGUGCCUUUAUUACUGUUCUCAUGAACAUUAGGACAUUAGAAGGAUAAUAAAGGGAUGUUAUGAGCAACUCUGAGUGUGCAAAUUUGAUAACAUGAAUCGACCAAUUCUGUGAAACCUCACACAAGGAGAAAUAACUGCUUCGCAUAAACUUACAAAAUAAAUUCAAUCAAUUAUGUGCUUGCAAAACAAAGCACUGGUCUCAGAUGGUUUCACUAGUGAAUUCUACCAUUCAAGGAUAAAGUGAUGCCAACUUUGUACAAUCUGUUCUAGAAAACAGAAGCAGAGGAAAUGCUUUAACACAUUUUGUGAGGCCACAUAACCCUGAUAACAAAAUUAGGUAAAGAUAUUACAAGAAAGGGCAACCACAGACCAGUAUCUCUCAUGAACAAAGCUAUAAAACUUCUCAACAGAAUAUUAGCAAAUCUAAUACAACAAUAUAUAACAAAAAAUAUAUGUACCACAGUCAAGUGGUAUUUAUUUCAGGUAUGCAAGGCUGGUUCAAUGUUGAAAUCAGUUCAUAUAAUUUAUUACAUUAUCACACUACAGGAGAAAAGUCAUAUGACUGUUUCAAUAGAUACAGAUAAGCCAUUUGACAAAACCAAUACCUAUUUAUGAUGAAGACAGACAAAAUUAUCCACCAGCUAGGAAUAUAAGGAAAUCCUCAAUUUCAUAAAUAAUAUCUACAAAAAAAACCUACAGCUAACAUACUUAAUGGCAGGACAUCAGAUGCUUUCCCUCUAAGAACAGAAACAAGGCAAGUAGAUUGCAUCAUUCCUAUUUAAUGUUGUGCUGGAAGUUCUUGCUAAUGCAAUAAGAAAAUUCCUGUCUCUCAGUGAAAAAUAAUUUGGAACUAAAAUCUGAAUAUAGCAAGUUUACAGAGAAUGUAUGAUUCAUACACAUUCAAUUGCUUUCUUAUAUAUAGCAGGUACAGACAUUUGGAAUUAGAAAUUUCAAACAUUUACAUUAGCAUCAAAAGAGAGUAGAGAGAGAAGAAAGAAAGAAGGAAACCAAAAAAAGCCUUUGUGCAAGAUCUAUAUAAGGAAAACUACAAAAGUCUCAUGAAGGAAAUUGAAGAUAGAAAUAAAUAGAAGGAUAUUCCAUGUUCAUGGAUAGGAAGACUAAAAAUCGUUAAGGUGUUAUGUCUUCCUAACUUUAUCAAUAGAUUCAAUGAAAUCUCAGUAACAAUCCCAGCAAGGUUCUUGUGUAUAUUGACAGAAUUUUAAAGUUAAUGAGGGAAAGACCCAGAAUAGCUGCCAAGAUUUUUAAGAAAAACAAAGUUGGAGGACUGACACUGACUUUGGUGAUGACUUUUUAGCUACAACACCAAAAGCAUGAUUCAUGGAAGAAAACAGUAAGUUGGACUUUAUUAAAAUUAAAAAACUGCUCUGUUUCAUUUUUCAUUUCACUGUUAAAAUGAAAGGAUAUGCCACAACCUGGGAUAAAAACUUUGCAAAAUAUAUCUGAUAAAGGAUUUGUAUCCACAAUAUACAAUGAACUCUUAAAACUACAAUAAGAAAAACCAAUAAAAAAGUAGGUAAAAUAUCUGAGCUGGCACCUCACAAAAGAAGAUAUAGCAAAUAAGCAUGAAAAAAUUGUUCAACAUGUAUGUCAUUAGAAAAUUGCAAAUUUAAAUAAUGAGAUACCACUACAUGCCUACCACAAUGGCUAAAAUUAAAAUAUAGUAAUAAAGGCUGAUGAGGAUGUGGAGCAAAAGGAACAUACAGCUACUUUGUGCUACAGUUUGACAGUUUUUUUUACAAAGCUAAAUAUAGACUUACUGUAAGCAUACCUUGAUACUGUGGGUUUGAUUCAAGACAAUAAGCCACUUUUUUUUGCUCAUCCACGGCAAGUAACUUCUCAUCUGUUCAAGCUGUAUCAUGAGAUUGUAGCGAUUGAGUCACAUCUUCAGCCUCCUCUCCUAAUUCUAGUUCUCGUGAUAUUUCUACCACAUUUGUAGUUACUUGAACCUCUCAGAGUCAUUUAUGAGGUUUAGAAUCAACCUCUUGCACACUCUUGUUAUGUUGAUAUUUUGACCUCCUCCCAUGAAUCACACAUGUUCUUAAUGGCAUCUAGAAUGGCAAAUAAUUUCCAGAAGGUUUUCAAUGAACUUGAAAACCCAGAUCCAUCAGAGCAGCCAUCUCUGAUCUUUUUGGUACCAGGGACCAGUUUGUGGAAGACAGUUUUUCCAUGACUGGAGUUGGGGUUGGGGGGAGUGGUUUCAGGAUGAAACUGUUCUACCUCAGAUUGUUAGGUAUUAGAUUCUCAUAAGGAGCACACAACCUUGAUCCCUUACGUGCAGUUCACUAAAUGGUUUGUGCUCCUAUGAGAAUCUAAUGCUGCUAAUCUGACAGAAGGCAGAGCUCAGGAGGUAAUGCUUGCUCGCUUGCUGCUCACCUUCUGUGGCGUGAUCCAGUUCCUAACAGGCCAGGGACUGGUACCAGAGCAAAGGCAGAGUAGAUUUUAGUAUAAUUCUUAAGGUCUCUAGGAUUGCUGGAAUGGUAACUGAGCAUUGGUUUCAUGGACUGGUACCAGAGCACAGGCAGAGUAGAUUUUAGUAUAAUUCUUAAGGGCUCUAGGAUUGCUGGAAUCAUAACUGAGCAUUGGUUUUAAGGUCAACAUCUGCAUUAGCUCUUAACAAGAGAGUCUUUCUGUUCUCUGAAGCUUUGAAGCCAGGCAUUGACUUCUCUAGCUAUGAGAGUCCUAGAUGGCAUCUUCUUCCAAUUGAAGGCUGUUUUGUCUACACUGAAAUUUUGCUGUUUAGUAUAGCCACGUUCAGUUAUCUUAGCUAGAUCUUCUGGAUAAUUUGUUGCAGCUUCUGCCUCAGCACUUGUUGCUUCCCCGUGCACUUUUAUGUUCUGGAGAUGACUUCUUUCCUUAAACUUCAUGAACCAACCUCUGCCAGCUUCACACUUUUCUUCUGUAGCUUCCUCACCUCUCUCAGCCUUCAUAGAAUUGAAAAGAGCCAAGGCCUUUUGGAUUAGGCUUUGGCUUAAGGGAAUGUUGUGGUUGUGUCUUAGUCAGUUUUCUGCUGCUUAUAACAGAGUAACUAAAACUGGAUAACUUAUAAAAGAGGAAUUUCUUUCUACAGUUAUUGAGCCAGAAAGUCCAAGGUUGAGAAGCUGCAUCUUGUGAGGCCUUGCUGCUGGUGACUCUGAAGAAUCUCACAGUGUUACAGGGCAUCACAUGGUGAAGGGUCUGAGAAGAAGUUCUCUGUUCCUCUUAUUAUAAAGCUACCAAUCUCAUUCCCAUGAUAACCCAAUACUCCAUUAAUUAAUAAAUGGAGUAAGCCGUUUUUCAUUCAUUCGAGCACAGUCCUCAUGACCUAAUCACCUCUUAAAGGCCCUGCAUGUUUAAUAUGGCAGAAAUAUAAAAGAAAAAGUAAAUUUUGAUAAUGUUAUUGAGCAAGUGAAUUAAUUUAUUCUAGAGCUUUCCUACUUGGGAACAUGAUACAUAAGAUAAGCAGUCUCCUCAAGCAACUUCAGCUCCUUGGCUUUGUCCUUAUGCCCCUGGAAUUUCACAUGCUCCACAAACUUGCGAGGGGUUUUGAAGUAGCUGUUGCAAAUGUUACAGAAGGGUCUCAGGGAUUGUUUGGCAAUCUUGUGGUCCUGUGUCCUGCAGUGUUGGAUCAGGUCCCCCAUGUAGUAGAGCUGGCAGGUGUUGCACCAACGCCUUGGUGGAGGCUCCUCAUCCUCUGUAUCCAGGAUGUCCCAGGGCACGGGCAGCAGGGACAGGAGGCAGGCUUGGCUCAUAUGCUGGAUCUCCCCUAGCUACUGGGGGUGCUGAGGCUCGGAUUCAUGUGGCCCUGGAAUUGCUGCUAGCUGGAGCAGCUGGCCUUGCAGUUGUAGCAGAAUAACUGGAGGGCCUGCUUAGAGAAUGUGCUUGUAGCUGCAGGGGUGGAGAAGUCGGAGUCACUGGGGUGGGGCAUGAGUGUCAGGGAUACAGUCCAAAAGGCCCGACUGUCACUGCUCUGCAGAAUAGUGACCUUCAGGGAGCCCCCAGCACCUUACACUCUGUUUUCACAUUCUCUCACAUCUAGGCCACUGGCCAGCUCCUUCUGGUUCUCUUCCAUGCUGACUUGGGUGCCCACAGGCUCUGGCAAGGUCUUUUCCAUGCCUCUACCAGCUCCUACUAUAUCAGGUGGCAUCUCCAGCCCACAGACAUGAACCACAACUGGUACUUGGCUCUGGAGCCAGCACCGACACCUGUGGCUGGGUCUGAGGCUGCUUAUCGGUCUGCACUGGUGGCUGUACUGGCACCUGCACUGGGGGCUGCUCCUGUGACUGGACCCUUGGCUGUGCUUGUGUGUGGACCUGUGGCUAUGUCUGUGUCUGGGCCUGCUUCUGCAGCUGCAGCUGCACCUGCCUUGGGGGCUAUGAAUGUGCCUGGGGCUGCAGCUGUUUCUGUGGCUCUGCCUCUUGCUGCAGCUGUGGCUGCCCUUUCUUCUGUUGUGGGACUAAGUGCUCUGGAGAAGUCUGUGUUUGUACCUGCUUCUACAGCUUUGGCUGCACCUGGGUAUCUGUGGGUGGUAUCCGUGGCUGAGUCUGUGACUGCACCUGGGCCUGGACCUGCAUGACCUGUGGCUGGAAUCGUGGCAGCAUUUGGGCUUCCAAAGGCUCAGACACCAGGUCUGGUGUCCAUGUCUGCUUCGGUACUGUCAUCUGGGCCUGUGGCCCGUGCUGUGCUUGUGGAUCUGGAGCUGGGCACCAUGGACUCUGUGUGCUUGGGGCCCUUCGGGCAGAUCUUCAGGCCAGACAGCUUCAUCUUUGGUCAGUGUGAGGCUGGGAACAACUGGGUCAAGGGGUACUACACAGAAGGUGCAAAGCUGAUGGAGUCAGUGAUGCACAUUGUGAGAAAAGAGGCUGAGAGCUGUGAUUGCCUGAUUGCCUGCAGGGUUUCCAGCUGACCCCCUCCCUGGGUGGGGGGACUGGGUCUGGGAUGGGUACCCUUCUCAUGGGCAAAAUUCAGGAGGAGUACCCAGACAGGAUCAUAAACACAUUCAGCAUCCUGCCCUUACCCAAGGUGUCAGACACCGUGGUGGAGCCCUACAAUGCCACCUUCUCCAUCUACCAGCUCAUAGAAAAUGUAGAUUAGACAUUCUUCAUCGAUAAUGAAGCACUCUAUAACAUCUUAAAACUGACCACACCCACCUUUGGUGACCUGAAUCACCUGGUGUCUGCUACCAUGAGUGGGGUCACCACGUGUCUGCCCUUCCUGGGCCAGCUGAAUGCUAACCUGCGGAACCUGGCCUUGAAAAUGGUUCCAUUUCCCCAGCUACACUUCUUCGUGCUUGGCUUUGCCCUGCUGACCAGCCAGGGCAGCCAGCAGUACUGGGCCCUGACCGUGGCUGAGCUCACCCCGCAGCUGUUUGAUGCUAAGAAUAUGAUGGCUGCCUGUGAUCCCUGUCGUGGCCGCUACCUAACCAUGGCUGCCAUUUUCAGAGGUCGCAUGUCCGUGAGGGAGGUGGAUGAACAAAUGUUUAAUAUUCAGAACAAGAAGAGCAGCUACUUUGCUGAGUGGUUUCCUCACAACGUGAAUACAGCCGUCUGUGACAUCCCACCCUGGGGGCUAAAAAUAGCCACCUUCAUUGGUAACAACAGCCAUCCAAGAGCUCUUCAAACAGUUUACAGCUAUGUUCAGGCAGAAGGCCUUCCUGCACUGGUACACAGGCGAGGGCAUGGAUGAGAUGGAGUUCACUGAGGCCGAGAGCAACCUUAAUGACCUGGUGUCUGAAUACCAGCAAUACCAAGAUGCCACAGCUGAGGAGGAGUUUGAGGAGUGUGCUGAGGAGGAGGUAGCUUAGAAGCUUCCUGUUCUAGGUAAAGGGGGAAGCAGUGUGGAUUCUUUAGUGUGUUCUGAUAGCUAUUGUCGCUAUGCACUUCUUUGAGACUUUACAUCUCCUCCUGCAUUUUAAAGCAUUUUUAUAGGUGUAGUUUGGCCUAAUAAAACAUUUUUAUGGCAAAAAAAAUUUUUUUAAUGACUUUAUUUAUUGGAGACAGAGUCUCUCUGUGUCGCCUAGGCUGGAGUGCAAUGGCAUGAUCUUAGCUCACUGCAAUCUCCUCUUCCUGGAUUCAAGUGAUUCUCAGCGUCAGCCUCCUGAGCAGCUGUCAUUACAGGCACCCACCAACAUGCCUGGCUAAUUUUUUGUAUUUUUAGUGGAGAUAGUGUUUCAUCUUGUUGGCCAGGCUGGUCUUGAAAUCCUGACCUCAAGUCAUCUGCCUGCCUUGGCCUCCCAAAGUGCUGGGAGUACAGGCAUGAAUCACUAUACCCUGCCAAUGUCUGAGUUUUUAGUAGGGAUGGGGUUUUGCCAUGUUGUCCAGGCUGGUCUCGAACUCCUGGGCUCAAGCAAUCCACCAACCUCCACAUCCCAAAGUGUGGGGAUUGCAGGAAUGAGCCUCUGCACCUGGCCUUUUUUUUUUUUUUUUUUUUUUGAGAUAAGGUCUCACUGUUACAAAAGCUGGAGUUGAGUGGCUUUGAACUCCUGGGCUUACACCAUCUUCCUAUCUGUCUCAUAAAUAGCUAGGAUUACAGGUGCCUGUCACCAUGCUAUUUUUUUUUUUUUUUUUUUUUUGAAGUAGGAUCUUGCUGUGUUGCCUGGGCUAGUCUUGAGCUCUUGAUCUCAAGACAUUCUUUCACCUGGGCCUCCCAAAGCAGUGGUUCAAGCGAUUCUUUUGCCUCAGCCUCCUGAAUAGCUGGGACUACAGGCACACACCACCACGCCUGGCUAAUUUUUGUAUUUUUAGUAGAGAUGGGGUUUCACCAUAUUGGCCAGGCUGGUCUUGAACUCCUGACCUCAGGUAAUCCACAUGUCUUGGCCUCCAAAAGUGCUGAGAUUACAGGUGUGAGCCAUCACGUCUGGCCACUGUUUUUAUUUUUAUAGUAAAAAUAUAUUAUACUUUGAAACAAGUAUAGUGUAUAUAAGUAUAUAUAAGUACUUUGAAAAAAAACAGGAAAGUAUAAAGAUGAAAACUAAAAAUCCCACCACAUAGAGAUAACCACUUAUAAUCUUUCUUGUAUUACUUAACCUCACUCUAUGACAUGUGCUAGAAAAUAUGAAAUUAUGAUCCUAGUUUUAUGAAGUAAAUUGUUUAUGUGUUCUAUAUUUGCUUAUAAUGUUCUUUAUGAUUAUAUACUAUAUAAUGAGCUCUGCUUGUUUUACUUUUGGUUGUAUUUUUUUCAUAACUAGGUAAUAUUAGAAAAAACACUAUUUAGGCUACUGGACUGUUAAGAAAGUAGGAGUACCAUUAUUUAUUUAACAAUUUAUUAUGGGCUGUUGAGGUUGUUUCUAGUCUUUCACGCUUAGAAAUAGCACUGUGAUUAAUGUAUUUAUAUAAAUUUCUAGAAAUAGAGACACUAGGUCAAAGAGUGUAAGUGCUUUGUUUUGAGUUGUUUGAGACAGUGUCUCUGUGGCCAGGCUGGAGUGCAGUGGUGCAGUCAUAGCUCACUGUAGCCUCACCCUCUAUGGCUCAAGAGAUCCUCCUAUUUUAACCUCCUAAGUAGCUGGGACUAUAGGUGUGUCCCACCGUGCCUAGUUAAUUUUAUGUAUUUUUGUUGUAGAGAUGGAGUUUUGCUAUGUUGCCCAGACUGGUCUAAAACUCCUGGACUCAAGCAAUCCACCUAUCUUGGCCUCCCAGAGUGCUAGAAUUACAGACGUGAGCCACCUUGCCCAGCCUUUAAGGCUCUUGAUUCAAUUUAUACUCCCACCAGCAAUGUAUGAGAUUGCCCAUAUUAUGGAACUCUUGCCAACAAUGAGUAUUUUUAAAAACAUUUUGUCUAUUUGAUAAAAAAAAUCUUGUUUUAAUUUAUAUUUCUUGGAUUAUAAGUGAGAUAACUUUUUUUUUCAUAGUU
Molecule: non-coding RNA, 10176 nt
Organism: Callithrix jacchus (white-tufted-ear marmoset)
Lineage: Eukaryota; Metazoa; Chordata; Mammalia; Primates; Cebidae
Source: RefSeq, a predicted model, not a curated record